UGGAGAUCCCUGCCUACCUGGGGCCUCCCCAAGCGUUACAAGAGGCUAAGAGGAGGACUGAGGUGGUGAAUUCUUACACUACCUUCCUUUCAGUUCCUGUAUUACCUGAUGCAGAACUGAAUGAGUUUCCUGCCAGGAAGUUGAGUGUUCCUUCUUAAAUAAAGAAAGUAAGAGAUUUUGAAAUGUGGGCUGUGAUAAUGCUUCUGCUGUGUAGGAGGGAGGGGAUGUCCUCUUUUCCUUCAAGAACAUUCAGAGUUGGUUUGGCCAUAAUAACUCCCAUAAUACUAGUCACAGAAAAUACUUUUGAGGAUCCUUGUGACGAACAUCACAGAUUUCUAUUUCUGUGUGUAGAAUUAAACAUGGAAACUACACAUCUAUGAAGAAUAUUUUUAGUAUUUGAAUGGUUUUUGAAAAUACUGUUUUUUGAAUGCUAAGGGAGAAGUCAAGUAAGCAGUUUGCUGAUGCUGUGUGCUGUUACCUUUCAGUGAGACUGAAGAAACCAGGUUCAGAUAAGGGAGAACUCCAUCUGUUCUCUAUGCUGUCUGGGCAGAGAUAAGUUAGAUCCAAGAGCCUUUCGUUGAAACUGAAACUAUGCCCUCCAAAAAUAAAUGAGCCCUCUCUCAGAGCAGGUCAUUCUGAGUGUAGUGGUUUUGGAAUUGCAGUUGGUUUUCAUUCAUUUAAUCCAAAGUACAGAAGGAAUAGUGUGGGCUCUAUCUGCACACAUUGAUAUAUAUUUAAAUAUCUUUGCAACUUUAAAACUGUUUGUAGGUGUUUAGAAAGAAGUUCAUUUGUUUACCUUCAGUAAAAACACAAUUCUUCCCUUUUUGCAUGUUUGUCAAUUUUUCUUCUGUCUUGAAAUGAUACACUCUUUAAGUAACUGUUAUUUUUGUAUUUGUGCAACAAGUAUUGGCUUUGUUUUUGUCUGUUUUUGUUUUCUUUUUAUUCUCGAGUGUAACUGAUGGCUCAAGUGAGGAGAAAAAAACAGAUUUGUGACUUUGGAGGUGAGGGAGGGGAAAUAAAAAAAAGUCUCCUCUCCAACUCUGAUGCUACAAUAAAUAUUGCAGUUAUUCCAGUAAUCUCUUCCACUAUAGAUAGGUGAAAUUAGCGUUCAGUUUACUACUGUUCAGACAUUUGUCUUUAUAAUCAUCACAUCCUAAAGCAAUGGACAUUAAAAUCAAAAAUUUUCCAGACUGACAUGCUUUGGGAAAGGAAAAUCACAGCAUCUAAGUAGGUGAGGUUACCUUGUUCACUACUCUUCUGAAAUCUGCCAGAUAUUGGUACAAUCACUACUUGUGACUAUUGCUAUGUAAGUAAUUGGGUUGACAGCUAUUAAUGUGAAGGGAAAGCAUAAGUGAAGGAAAAAGAAUAGGAAGUAAGGUUGAAUUGUUUAAUGUACAAUCGUUAAAUGAUGAUUUAUUUAUUCUUAGAACUUUUGGUUAGGUCUUCAAUGUAACGUCAAAUAAAAACUGAUCAGUUACCAUAAAUGUCAGAGUGAAGAAAAUUACACCCAAAACAGAACUAAAAUCGUGUUGCCAUGAGGAAAAAAAUAUCAGCUGGUAGUAGCUGACAAAAGAACUUAUUUUAGUGCAAUAAAUAAGCUGGAGUCCUUUUCAGAGACUCUUCAUGUUUUAUAUUGAGUACUUGCUUUCAUUUGACUUGGUAAAGAAGAAGGUUGGUGUGUAAGUAGCACCCUGUGAAAUUACCGAGAAUAUACUGCCAGUCAGUGAAAACUGACAUAAUGCUACUGAUGUUAACAUAAAUAAAUAGUGAAACACUGAGGUGAUGACCUAUAACCAAAGUUUACUGAUUUGAGUUCCAGAUGAACUUACCUGCUUUCCAACCCUCCACCCUUCUCCCUCAUGCUGACCUUUUUUUUUUUCUUUGUUUUGGUUGAAGAAUAAUAUAUUUUAAAUAUACUAUAAAGCUACAGUAGAGUAGUCUAACUUUUUCUUUAGUUUCAUCCAAAUUCUAAUUUUGGUGGUCUAGAAAUAAAACUUGCAAAUACAGUUCUGUCACCUUAGUGUCUAUCUAAUUUGAAAAGUAGCCCCUAUUGUCUCCCCUGGGGUGUUAAACAGUAAAUGUUUAGUUUAGAUGUUGUACUAAGGGAAAUGAUUUAGAGGGGAAGUAUUGGUGGCAGGUUGGACUGGAUGAUCUUGGAGGUCAUUUCCAACAUUGAUUCUUUGAUUCUAUGAUUCUAAUACAGUAAUUUUAGUACACGCUU
This is a long non-coding RNA of Numida meleagris (helmeted guineafowl), 2221 nucleotides long. RefSeq lists it as uncharacterized. The transcript has 3 exons. The record is from RefSeq and is a predicted model, not a curated record. NCBI's taxonomy places the organism in Eukaryota, Metazoa, Chordata, Aves, Galliformes, Numididae.